AUCGUUGCCCGAUGCCUAUUGCAGUGCAAUAGGAAUUUCUAGGGCGAAUGAUGGCUUCCCGUGAGCGUUGUUGCCUCGCGGUUGGUUGAAAAUCGAGUCCUUGGUGGGGUGUGCCAUGAUAGAUGGUGGUCGAGUUAGCACGAUACCGAUCGUGUGCAUGCUCCCCAAAAUAUGGCCUCUAUGACCCACACGCGUCUUUUGACGCACA
This 208-nucleotide unclassified non-coding RNA is filed under the name Astragalus bisulcatus. Lineage: Eukaryota; Viridiplantae; Streptophyta; Magnoliopsida; Fabales; Fabaceae. The record is from RNAcentral.